UUCGUCUUCCAUGUCGUGUACCGAAGCCUUGAACCACAGUCCUGAUCCUUGCCUUAAGGUAGUCUGGAGGAGCAGAAAACGCUGAACUUCAAGUGGAACACAUCCAGCCUCUGGGUGUCCAUGCAGGAUGUACCAUACUCACUCAGGAACAUCAAGCCUCUCACCACCUGCCAGCACAAGGAAGCGUGGCACAAGAGAGUAUUUCAACAGGCUCUAUCCAACCAUCUUCCAGAUCAGCCUUCAGAGAUCCUCCUAAUGGCCUAACAACUGAACUACAUGGCAAUGCUGAGUAUGAUCCAUCUCAAACAUUUGAGGAAGCUCUCCCUGAUGUGGGGGAUUGGACAUAUGAUGAUGGACAUAUGUUCAGUGAGGGAUUUGAAGAGGGUUUCAGUGAGGAGUGUGCAGCAGAGUCAAAUUUCAAGGACACAACAGACAAACCGUAAUAUGACAAUGCAUCAAUAACUGUGGCAGAGGGCAAUCAUUUUGUUCCCUUAUUGGAAACCUCUGCCAAUACAGUAGUUUCCUUGGAUUAUAUAUUGGGUAAAGCUGUUUUCCAUGACUUGACAUCUGUGCCUGGCAUUGUGAUUGCAGCUCAUUUCCCAAACACACUUGGAAAGUCCUAACCCAUUAAGACUGAACUGGUCCAAGAAGCCACAAAUCGAAUGAUCGUUCAUUGAAAUAACAUGCUCUGAAAAUGCACAUGACCCACACAUCUGACCACUUGCCAUGAAUGCUUUGUAGAAUUACAGGUCCAUCAAAACAAGAACCAACAGACUCAGAAACAGCUUCUUCCCACAAGCCAUCACUGAACACAAAUGAACACUGACACACACGAACACACACACACCCACACUCACACACACUGAGCAAUAACUGUAAAUACAAUCAUUGCAUUGUAUACAAAAAACACUGUACAUAUUUAUCUAUUUAUCUGUUUUUUAAUAUCCUACAUUGCACUAAAUGCCUUGUACUUUUUUUUUACCUGUACUUUUUACUAUAUUUAUGUUGUGUGGACACUCGGUUUCUGCUAAAAAAGUUUUUGACAAUAAAAAGGAUUCUGAUUUCUCCUG
Long non-coding RNA from Acanthopagrus latus (yellowfin seabream), 1070 nucleotides. RefSeq lists it as uncharacterized. The record is from RefSeq and is a predicted model, not a curated record. The transcript is spliced from 3 exons. Lineage: Eukaryota; Metazoa; Chordata; Actinopteri; Spariformes; Sparidae.